Molecule: ribosomal RNA, 2925 nt
Filed under: Escherichia coli
Lineage: Bacteria; Pseudomonadati; Pseudomonadota; Gammaproteobacteria; Enterobacterales; Enterobacteriaceae
Description: bacterial LSU rRNA
Rfam family: Bacterial large subunit ribosomal RNA
Source: RNAcentral
GGGUUGUGAGGUUAAGCGACUAAGCGUACACGGUGGAUGCCCUGGCAGUCAGAGGCGAUGAAGGACGUGCUAAUCUGCGAUAAGCGUCGGUAAGGUGAUAUGAACCGUUAUAACCGGCGAUUUCCGAAUGGGGAAACCCAGUGUGAUUCGUCACACUAUCAUUAACUGAAUCCAUAGGUUAAUGAGGCGAACCGGGGGAACUGAAACAUCUAAGUACCCCGAGGAAAAGAAAUCAACCGAGAUUCCCCCAGUAGCGGCGAGCGAACGGGGAGCAGCCCAGAGCCUGAAUCAGUGUGUGUGUUAGUGGAAGCGUCUGGAAAGGCGCGCGAUACAGGGUGACAGCCCCGUACACAAAAAUGCACAUACUGUGAGCUCGAUGAGUAGGGCGGGACACGUGGUAUCCUGUCUGAAUAUGGGGGGACCAUCCUCCAAGGCUAAAUACUCCUGACUGACCGAUAGUGAACCAGUACCGUGAGGGAAAGGCGAAAAGAACCCCGGCGAGGGGAGUGAAAAAGAACCUGAAACCGUGUACGUACAAGCAGUGGGAGCACGCUUAGGCGUGUGACUGCGUACCUUUUGUAUAAUGGGUCAGCGACUUAUAUUCUGUAGCAAGGUUAACCGAAUAGGGGAGCCGAAGGGAAACCGAGUCUUAACUGGGCGUUAAGUUGCAGGGUAUAGACCCGAAACCCGGUGAUCUAGCCAUGGGCAGGUUGAAGGUUGGGUAACACUAACUGGAGGACCGAACCGACUAAUGUUGAAAAAUUAGCGGAUGACUUGUGGCUGGGGGUGAAAGGCCAAUCAAACCGGGAGAUAGCUGGUUCUCCCCGAAAGCUAUUUAGGUAGCGCCUCGUGAAUUCAUCUCCGGGGGUAGAGCACUGUUUCGGCAAGGGGGUCAUCCCGACUUACCAACCCGAUGCAAACUGCGAAUACCGGAGAAUGUUAUCACGGGAGACACACGGCGGGUGCUAACGUCCGUCGUGAAGAGGGAAACAACCCAGACCGCCAGCUAAGGUCCCAAAGUCAUGGUUAAGUGGGAAACGAUGUGGGAAGGCCCAGACAGCCAGGAUGUUGGCUUAGAAGCAGCCAUCAUUUAAAGAAAGCGUAAUAGCUCACUGGUCGAGUCGGCCUGCGCGGAAGAUGUAACGGGGCUAAACCAUGCACCGAAGCUGCGGCAGCGACGCUGAUGCGUUGUUGGGUAGGGGAGCGUUCUGUAAGCCUGUGAAGGUGUGCUGUGAGGCAUGCUGGAGGUAUCAGAAGUGCGAAUGCUGACAUAAGUAACGAUAAAGCGGGUGAAAAGCCCGCUCGCCGGAAGACCAAGGGUUCCUGUCCAACGUUAAUCGGGGCAGGGUGAGUCGACCCCUAAGGCGAGGCCGAAAGGCGUAGUCGAUGGGAAACAGGUUAAUAUUCCUGUACUUGGUGUUACUGCGAAGGGGGGACGGAGAAGGCUAUGUUGGCCGGGCGACGGUUGUCCCGGUUUAAGCGUGUAGGCUGGUUUUCCAGGCAAAUCCGGAAAAUCAAGGCUGAGGCGUGAUGACGAGGCACUACGGUGCUGAAGCAACAAAUGCCCUGCUUCCAGGAAAAGCCUCUAAGCAUCAGGUAACAUCAAAUCGUACCCCAAACCGACACAGGUGGUCAGGUAGAGAAUACCAAGGCGCUUGAGAGAACUCGGGUGAAGGAACUAGGCAAAAUGGUGCCGUAACUUCGGGAGAAGGCACGCUGAUAUGUAGGUGAAGUCCCUCGCGGAUGGAGCUGAAAUCAGUCGAAGAUACCAGCUGGCUGCAACUGUUUAUUAAAAACACAGCACUGUGCAAACACGAAAGUGGACGUAUACGGUGUGACGCCUGCCCGGUGCCGGAAGGUUAAUUGAUGGGGUCAGCGCAAGCGAAGCUCUUGAUCGAAGCCCCGGUAAACGGCGGCCGUAACUAUAACGGUCCUAAGGUAGCGAAAUUCCUUGUCGGGUAAGUUCCGACCUGCACGAAUGGCGUAAUGAUGGCCAGGCUGUCUCCACCCGAGACUCAGUGAAAUUGAACUCGCUGUGAAGAUGCAGUGUACCCGCGGCAAGACGGAAAGACCCCGUGAACCUUUACUAUAGCUUGACACUGAACAUUGAGCCUUGAUGUGUAGGAUAGGUGGGAGGCUUUGAAGUGUGGACGCCAGUCUGCAUGGAGCCGGCCUUGAAAUACCACCCUUUAAUGUUUGAUGUUCUAACGUUGACCCGUGAUCCGGGUUGCGGACAGUGUCUGGUGGGUAGUUUGACUGGGGCGGUCUCCUCCUAAAGAGUAACGGAGGAGCACGAAGGUUGGCUAAUCCUGGUCGGACAUCAGGAGGUUAGUGCAAUGGCAUAAGCCAGCUUGACUGCGAGCGUGACGGCGCGAGCAGGUGCGAAAGCAGGUCAUAGUGAUCCGGUGGUUCUGAAUGGAAGGGCCAUCGCUCAACGGAUAAAAGGUACUCCGGGGAUAACAGGCUGAUACCGCCCAAGAGUUCAUAUCGACGGCGGUGUUUGGCACCUCGAUGUCGGCUCAUCACAUCCUGGGGCUGAAGUAGGUCCCAAGGGUAUGGCUGUUCGCCAUUUAAAGUGGUACGCGAGCUGGGUUUAGAACGUCGUGAGACAGUUCGGUCCCUAUCUGCCGUGGGCGCUGGAGAACUGAGGGGGGCUGCUCCUAGUACGAGAGGACCGGAGUGGACGCAUCACUGGUGUUCGGGUUGUCAUGCCAAUGGCACUGCCCGGUAGCUAAAUGCGGAAGAGAUAAGUGCUGAAAGCAUCUAAGCACGAAACUUGCCCCGAGAUGAGUUCUCCCUGACUCCUUGAGAGUCCUGAAGGAACGUUGAAGACGACGACGUUGAUAGGCCGGGUGUGUAAGCGCAGCGAUGCGUUGAGCUAACCGGUACUAAUGAACCGUGAGGCUUAACCUUACAACGCCGAAG